RNAcentral lists this long non-coding RNA (692 nucleotides) under Equus caballus (horse). RNAcentral's name for it is "lncRNA (ENSECAG00000058837.1)". The record is from RNAcentral. Lineage: Eukaryota; Metazoa; Chordata; Mammalia; Perissodactyla; Equidae.
GAGGGAAACCGAGUCCUGCUCUGGAGGCACGGAGGGACAGGCAUCCUGAGAGUCCGUCUGCAGGUGGCAGGAGUGUGGAGGCCGAGGACGGGGCCUCCUGGGAGCCAUCCAGGCAGGAGCCUGGUGAAGACACGGACAGUUCCAGAAAGCAGAGGGGCCUACCGUCCCACAGCACCUCACGAGCGGGUCCGCCCCUUCCUGAGCUGUCCUGGGCCGUGCGGCCACGCGGGUUUGCCUUCUCCAAGCUCAGUGGUCGGAUUGUGAACUUGUGCAGAGCAAAGCUCCCAGAACGUGGUUCUCAAGGCCUGUGGCUGGAGCUGCAGCAGCCCUGGGACUGGUCACAGAUGCAUCCUGGGGCCCAGCCCACGUCUCCUGGGCCAGGGGCUCGAGAGGCCUGCGUUUGGCAAGUGCACUCCCGCUCGCCGUGACAAGCUGAGGGGACAAGCGUUGCCCUUCUCCGUCGGCAGCCUUUUCCAGAUAAAAGACUCAGACUCAGACAGGGAGCCUGCUACCUGGAAGUCAUUCGGCCCCUUUGUCAGGAGGCCCUCCUAGACCGACGACCUAGGAGAACGUUUGAAAACCACAGCCCUCCAAGAGCCGGCAAGCAGCAACUGCAGGGCGGUUUUGAACCCUCAAUCCACAAAAGACCCCUUCCCCAUGAUUUGCUGUGUAAUAUAUUUAUUAUUGCUGUG